This 609-nucleotide unclassified non-coding RNA is filed under the name Microascus murinus. Its description in RNAcentral is "sequence contains 18S rRNA gene, ITS1, 5.8S rRNA gene, ITS2, 28S rRNA gene". The stretch from base 218 to 371 matches the Rfam family "5.8S ribosomal RNA". Lineage: Eukaryota; Fungi; Ascomycota; Sordariomycetes; Microascales; Microascaceae. The record is from RNAcentral.
AGGUCUCCGUUGGUGAACCAGCGGAGGGAUCAUUACCGAAGUACUCUUCAUACCCUACUGUGAACCUUACCAUGUCAUUGCAGCGUUGCCUCGGCGCGAGGUCAGGUGGGAGGGGGGGCCCUGCGGCCGCCCCUUCUACCAGGCCCCCGCCGGCAUCGCCCAACUCUUCAUUUGCAAAGCGGACUGUAUAUUUCUGAUUGUCUUGAAAACAAGUUAAAACUUUCAACAACGGAUCUCUUGGCUCUGGCAUCGAUGAAGAACGCAGCGAAAUGCGAUAAGUAAUGCGAAUUGCAGAAUUCAGUGAAUCAUCGAAUCUUUGAACGCACAUUGCGCCCGGCAGCAAUCUGCCGGGCAUGCCUGUCCGAGCGUCAUUUCUGCCCUCGAGCGCGGUUCGGCCCCCUAGCGGGCCGCGCCGCCGCCCGGUGUUGGGGAUCUGCGGGUUCCGCCCGCAGGCCCUGAAAAGAAGUGGCGGCCCCGCCGCGGCGCCCCCUGCGUAGUAGUAAGACACCUCGCAUCGGGACCCGGCGGAGGCCAGCCGUCGAACCCAUCUCCUUGAGAAUGUUUGACCUCGGAUCAGGUAGGGAUACCCGCUGAACCUAAGCAUAUCAU